AAAGGGCGUCAUUCGCAUAUCUUUACGCGCUUCACAGCACCAGAAAAGAUCUGUUCUUUCACGAGGGAUUCACUUCUUUGUCAUCUAUCUCUACGGCAAAAAGGAGUUUUAUUUCAGUGGGAUUUGAAGUCAUGAAAAGCAAAGGGCUUUGUUGGCUAAUCGCAUCAGGCGACCCCAAUGUCUUCCAAAUGGAAUGUUAAGCAAGGAUUAGUGUGUCGUGUGGAAAUGGUCCGUUUACUAGUGCGACUCGGACUUCACAGUUUGAGUGAGAAUUUUCCAAAGUUUUUAGAUACCACGUGAAUGUUUAGCUGGAAAUAUUACUUUCAAACGAGUCAGAUAAGCUUCUUAAGGAAAAUUUUAACAAUAAUAUAGCGUUUUUUACUUCUCAUGGGAAGCACUUAGGACGCGCGAAAGCUCGCUUCCGUAAGGUGCUGAUUUCUCUAAAAAUAAACUCAGGCUCGAGCUGCUGGUGUCUUAGUUGGCUUUGUUAACAGCGAGAGCUUCAUAAAAAUG
Molecule: long non-coding RNA, 513 nt
Organism: Stylophora pistillata
Lineage: Eukaryota; Metazoa; Cnidaria; Anthozoa; Scleractinia; Pocilloporidae
Source: RefSeq, a predicted model, not a curated record